Struthio camelus australis is the source of this 240-nucleotide non-coding RNA. Lineage: Eukaryota; Metazoa; Chordata; Aves; Struthioniformes; Struthionidae. The record is from RefSeq and is a predicted model, not a curated record.
GGAUCAGGAGCCAAGGCACGUUUUAUAGGCUUGUGAGGUGCCAGCGUCAUAAAGGGAGUGGAGUGAGGAGCUUCAUCGGCUGGACUAACUUUGGUGCCUGAAAAGCUGUUUGCAUAUCCAGCAGACACUGAUUUCCAUUUGAACACCAUGCAGACCUUGUUUCAAGAAUGUUGAUAGUGCUACCUAGGCAGGCUUAGUCUGUGGCUGAUCUGCAGUUCCUGUGUCAGACAUCUACCCCAG